This is a long non-coding RNA of Esox lucius (northern pike), 1727 nucleotides long. The record is from Ensembl. Lineage: Eukaryota; Metazoa; Chordata; Actinopteri; Esociformes; Esocidae.
GACAGAUGAGGCAAGCAAGUUUAUUUGUUUUACUGUAGAAAGAUUAACUUAGUUUCCAUGUGUUAUUUACAGGAGGCAAGCAAGUUUGUGGCUGCAGCUGGAUGCCCCUUAAAUUUCAUUUCUUUGUCGAUUUUUUUAACAUUUGAAGAAAAAGUUAACUCAACAGGUAAAUUCCAUUUGCAACUUUUUUAAAUAAUCACUUCUCGUAUUAAACCAUAGUAAACGUUUGUUUUGUAGGCAUUUACAGGAUACAAUAGUAACAUGUGACUUCCUUACUUACAGAUUGCAUGAAAAACCUGGCGGAUAUCAGACCUGGGUUGAGAUAUGAUGUGUUAUAUGAGACAAAACAAGAGAUUGAAUACGAAUGUAUUUGGAAAGACACUUGCACUCCAAAACUACUUAAACUCAGUUGAAGUCAGACAUGUACAUACACCUUAGCCAAAUACAUAUAAACUCAGUUGUUGACAAUUCCUGACAUGUGAUCUUAGUAAAAAAUGAUCUGUCUUAGGUCAGUCAGGAUAACUACUUUAUAUUAAGAAUGUGAAAUGUCAGAGAAAUAGUAAAGAGAAUGACUAAUUUCAGCUUUUAUUUCUUUCAUCACAUUCCCAGUUGGUCAGAAGUUUACAUACACUCAAUUAGUAUUUGUUAGCUUUAAAAUUGUUUAACUUAGGUCAAAUGUUUCAGGUAGCCUUCCACAAGCAAUAAGUAGAUUUUUUUUCCCAUUCCUCCUGACAGAAACGGUGUAACUGAGUCAGGUUGUUACACUAUCCUGUAGAGCAGUGUUUCCCAAUCCUGGUCCUCAGGACCCAAAGGGGUGAACGUUUUUGUUUUUGCCCUAUCACUCACACAACUGGUUCAAAUGGUACCCAAACACUUACAAACUUGAUUGAUGUAAUCAACCUAUCAUCAAGUCUUUAAUUUGAAUCAGGAGUGCUAGGGCAAAACCAAAAAUGUGCACCCCUUUGGGUCCCGAGGACCAGGAUGGGAAACACUGCUAUAGAGAAGGCUGACCAUACUUUAAUGACAAUUAAUCUUUCAAAUUCUAGCCAAAAUAUAAUAUUCAUGGGGUUUCGGAAAAAGACUGUCAGGCUCCAGUGGAUAAAAUGGAAUCCCUUAGCCUCUUGGGGUUUGAAGGCUGACCUUUACCCAGCAGAAACCUUCCAAGGACCACUCUUAUCUGUUCCGUCUCCCCUCUCCACGCAAAGCGUCUGAACAAAGUUUGGGAAAGAAGUCUCAUGUUAUACUUAAUGAUAUAUAUGUCCCGUCUCUGUUUUUAUCAAGCUAGCAAAUAUGGUUCUCAAAUUAUUCUGAUUUCAAAGUAAAAUUAAUGGCAGACUUACCACUUCCCAGUUCUUAUAUCCAAUUAAUUUGUGAAUUUAGACAAUAAUAAUGUGCAUUUUUCAUAUUAUUUGUAUAUGUUUUGUAUUUGCUGUGAGACCGGGCUCAGCUGUAAAAUAGAUCUAGGUCUAAGACUGACUUCUCUGUAUUAAUAAACAAACUAAUAUUAGCUAUAGCUUUUACCUAAUCAUUGUUCUUGCAAAAGCAUUUAAGUGCUUUUAUCAAAUAUUUGAUAGAGCUCUGAGUUUGUCUGGGCUGGCUUAGUAAGAGGGAGAGUAGAUGUGGGGAGGGACAAGGAAAAGAGAGUUGCGAGAUUAAGAGUUUUUUUUCCCAGGAAGGCGUUCCGGAGGCAUCCGAAACAGAUGCCCAAGCCACCUCAGCUGAGCCCU